GGGGUUGUGGCUCAGAGGUAGAGUGCUUGCCUAGCAUGCACGUAGCACUGGGUUCGAUCCCCAGCACCACA
Molecule: transfer RNA, 71 nt
Filed under: Marmota monax (woodchuck)
Lineage: Eukaryota; Metazoa; Chordata; Mammalia; Rodentia; Sciuridae
Description: tRNA.Ala
Rfam family: tRNA
About the family: Transfer RNA (tRNA) molecules are approximately 80 nucleotides in length. Their secondary structure includes four short double-helical elements and three loops (D, anti-codon, and T loops). Further hydrogen bonds mediate the characteristic L-shaped molecular structure. tRNAs have two regions of fundamental functional importance: the anti-codon, which is responsible for specific mRNA codon recognition, and the 3' end, to which the tRNAs corresponding amino acid is attached (by aminoacyl-tRNA synthetases). tRNAs cope with the degeneracy of the genetic code in two manners: having more than one tRNA (with a specific anti-codon) for a particular amino acid; and 'wobble' base-pairing, i.e. permitting non-standard base-pairing at the 3rd anti-codon position.
Source: RNAcentral